Molecule: long non-coding RNA, 238 nt
Filed under: Cervus elaphus hippelaphus
Lineage: Eukaryota; Metazoa; Chordata; Mammalia; Artiodactyla; Cervidae
Rfam family: 7SK RNA
About the family: 7SK was discovered as an abundant small nuclear RNA in the mid-70s but a possible function has only recently been suggested. Two independent studies have found that 7SK RNA binds the CDK9/cyclin T complex (known as elongation factor P-TEFb).
Source: RNAcentral
GGAUAUGAGGGUGAUCUGAUUGUGACAUCUGUCACCCCAUUGAUCACCAGGGUUUAUUAAGCUGAUCUGGUUGGCUAGGCGGGUGUCCUUUUCCUCUCUCAACAUUCCAUGUGUGUCCUUCCUGAAGCUGCACGCUCUGUCGAAGAGGACAACCAUAUCUGAUAGAGGAGGACUAGUCUUCAGUCAAGGGUAUAUGAGUAGAUCCAUUUCCCAGCUAGAACCUUCAAACUAGCUCUCA